This 359-nucleotide long non-coding RNA is filed under the name Panax ginseng (ginseng). RNAcentral's name for it is "long non-coding RNA (PGIN_LNC015965)". Lineage: Eukaryota; Viridiplantae; Streptophyta; Magnoliopsida; Apiales; Araliaceae. The record is from RNAcentral.
AGGUGUUGAGAUGAACAUGACCAACUGGUGUUAUAAAUGAAUAUCUUUGGCCUGUAGUGCAAAGAUGAACAUUGAUUGUUGUUACAUGGAUGAAAUAUUGAUGAUGGACUUUUAAAUCUUAGAAGACAGUAGAAUUCUUUCUCUACGUGAAUCUUUUAAUGGAUUGCUGUUUCCGCUGCAUUUGUUGAUCUAAAACUUGUUGUCUAUUGUAUUCUAUUAGAUUUUUUCCUGUUGAAGACUAACGAUAAUUUGUUGUAUAUUAUCUUAGUCAUAAUAUUCUUUACUGGGCUAGUUGAGCUCACCCUUUUCCUUGUUGUUCCAUUUUUCUUCUCAGGAGGUGAGAACAUAGCAGGAUCGAG